GUUUUUUUUUCGGACAACCCGGAUGCCAAGCGGUCUCCGUCGGGUCCCAGCUGCUGACCACGAUCUGCCCUAAGCACUAACUAGAGCAGUGCUCAAUCAACAUCAACUGGUGUUUCCUGUGCUGCAAGGGCGAAGUUUCAUCUGCUCAGAAACCUGCCUGACGACGUUCCACCUCGAGUGCCGCCAGUUUAACCAGCCGGAGAGUCGUUACAUCUGCGAAGAGUUCGAUUCCGGCCGAAUGCCGCUGUACGACGAGAUCGUCUGGGCCAAAUAUUCCGUGUUAAUGUUCUGGCCCGUGAUUGCGAUUCCCCCGCCAGCGGUUCUGGACGUGGAAGAGCGAACGGACAUUUACGGACAAACCGAAUCUGCCUCUAUCACAAAGGCGACUUGGACAGCGUGACGGACCUGAAGCGGUCGGGCAUCAUGGAGCGGUACAACGAGGCACUGCGCGUGGCACGGUAGAUUUUCGAACGGCUGCAGGCAGAAAAAGCUCACACCCAGGAAUCGGCCCCGGACGAUUUGAGCUUUAAACUGCCGAUGUACGUGAAGAUCAAGUUCAACAAGAAUGUUGCUCCGCUGAGAAGGCGCAACGCGGCCAGAUACGAGGAGGAGGACUCGAUCUGUGAGUGAACAUCGUCGGACACGGACCCGUGCGGGCUGGAAUCGAAUUGCAUUAACCGGGCGCUGCUCGAGGAGUGCAAUCCAAAGACUUAUCCAGCUGGCGAGAGUUGCAAGAUCCAGUGCUUCAAACGAAAGCAGUACCCGGCACUGGCGGCCAAACGGAUCUGAUCGCACAGGAGGAUAUCCACCAGGGUCAGUUUGUGAUCGUCGGAGUACGUCGGAGAGGUGAUCAACAACGAAGAGUUGGCGCGGCGGAUAAAGCAAAAGCAGGACCAAAAGGUCGAAAAUUACUUCUUCCUGACGAUGAACACGGAGUUGACAACCGACUCGGGCCCAAAGGCAACAUGGCCCGGUUCAUAUACAACUUGUGCGAGCCCAACUGCGAGACGCUGCUGUGGAAGGUCGGCGGAAGCCAAUACGUGGUGCUGUUUGCCCUCAAGGCGGGCCUUCAACUUUAACUUUGAGACGUUCGGCGACUUGAAGAAGAUCUUCUAGUGUGGUGCGGGCAAGUGUUCCGAGCUGAUCGUCAGCCAAGGGAACUGGAGUGAGUAGGCCACAACGGUCUUGCGCGAUAGCUCCUCCGCCACCCACGCCUGCGGCAAAGUACCUUGCGGAUCCAUCCCGCCCAACCUCAAAGACCCUCCCAGCUACGGUUUGCGGGUUCAGAUCAGGAGAAAGAUAUUCUGAGAAAUUGCAUUAACGGAUCCAGAAUUAAUUCACAUCUUAGAAGCAAGAGUUUUGUUUUUCGGUUCAAAGAACAGAAAUCACUCAUUCAUCGCCGAGCGAAUCUUUGCCGACUGGAGCGCGCAACACGACUUGCUCAAUCGCUCCACCCAGCGACACAAAUACUUCG
This is a long non-coding RNA of Culex pipiens pallens (northern house mosquito), 1474 nucleotides long. RefSeq lists it as uncharacterized. Lineage: Eukaryota; Metazoa; Arthropoda; Insecta; Diptera; Culicidae. The transcript is spliced from 3 exons. The record is from RefSeq and is a predicted model, not a curated record.